This 484-nucleotide ribosomal RNA is filed under the name uncultured bacterium. RNAcentral's name for it is "partial 16S ribosomal RNA". It matches the Rfam family "Bacterial small subunit ribosomal RNA", at positions 30 to 507 of the family's 1533-position model. The record is from RNAcentral.
AUUGAACGCUGGCGGCAGGCCUAACACAUGCAAGUCGAGCGGAUGAAGGGAGCUUGCUCCUGGAUUCAGCGGCGGACGGGUGAGUAAUGCCUAGGAAUCUGCCUGGUAGUGGGGGAUAACGUCCGGAAACGGGCGCUAAUACCGCAUACGUCCUGAGGGAGAAAGUGGGGGAUCUUCGGACCUCACGCUAUCAGAUGAGCCUAGGUCGGAUUAGCUAGUUGGUGGGGUAAAGGCCUACCAAGGCGACGAUCCGUAACUGGUCUGAGAGGAUGAUCAGUCAGACUGGAACUGGGACACGGUCCAGACUCCUGCGGGAGGCAGCAGUGGGGAAUAUUGGACAAAGGGCGAAAGCCUGAUCCAGCCAUGCCGCGUGUGUGAAGAAGGUCUUCGGAUUGUAAAGCACUUUAAGUUGGGAGGAAGGGCAGUAAGUUAAUACCUUGCUGUUUUGACGUUACCAACAGAAUAAGCACCGGCUAACUUCGUG